GGGCCCGCACAAGCAGCGGAGCAUGUGGUUUAAUUCGAAGCAACGCGAAGAACCUUACCAGGUCUUGACAUCCAGUAAAAGCCUAAGAGAUUAGGUGUGUGCUUGCACAUACUGAGACAGGUGGUGCAUGGUUGUCGUCAGCUCGUGUCGUGAGAUGUUGGGUUAAGUCCCGCAACGAGCGCAACCCUUAUGUUCAGUUACUAACGCGUAGAGGCGAGGACUCUGGACAGACUGCCGGGGACAACUCGGAGGAAGGUGGGGACGACGUCAAAUCAUCAUGCCCCUUAUGACCUGGGCUACACACGGUGCUACAAUGGCCUCUACAAAGAGGAGCGAGACCGCAAGGUGGAGCAAAUCUCAUAAAAGAGGUCCCAGUUCGGAUUGAGGGCUGCAACCCGCCCUCAUGAAGUCGGAGUUGCUAGUAAUCGCGAAUCAGCAUGUCG
RNAcentral lists this ribosomal RNA (443 nucleotides) under uncultured Bacillota bacterium. RNAcentral describes it as "bacterial SSU rRNA". It matches the Rfam family "Bacterial small subunit ribosomal RNA", at positions 917 to 1359 of the family's 1533-position model. The record is from RNAcentral. Lineage: Bacteria; Bacillati; Bacillota.